Molecule: long non-coding RNA, 2246 nt
Organism: Papaver somniferum (opium poppy)
Lineage: Eukaryota; Viridiplantae; Streptophyta; Magnoliopsida; Ranunculales; Papaveraceae
Exons: 5
Source: RefSeq, a predicted model, not a curated record
UUCAAACCCUAGUGAAACUUCAUCUUCACAGAAAUCUCUUAAUCCUCUUCAAUAACCUUCGAUCAUCGACUUAUCUUCUCAUUUUUCAUUUUCUUUCUUUCUCCUUUUCUCCUUCCGCCUCUCAUUCUCUUCCUCUUAGAUUUUACAGAUUCGAUUGGGUUAAUCAUCUGUUCGAUUGGUUAAAAUUUCUGGUGAUAACCCCGAAAUCAAAACCUUUAUUUCUUAACCCAUAUAUCCAAAUCGAAACCCACACCAGAAAUGUCGAUCUAUCAUAUAUUUACUUGAAAUAUUUGUAACCCUAGAUCGAUUUUGUUCCUGAGAUUUAAAAUUCUAAUCAUCUGAUAAGUGUUUGUGUAACAGUUUGUUGAUUAUCAUCAUCUAAUAGGUGAUUUGUAACAGUUUGUUGAUUAUCAUCUGCUAUAAACAAUCAACUUCUACUAGUUUGAUUUGAUUUUGUUUGUUUGUUUUUUAUUUUGUCCCAACUCUGUGAAUAGUGUAGAGUUAGGGGUUUUAUUUGGAGGAGUAUAAAUUUGUAGAAGAAGAAGAGGAUUUGAAGGUUGAGAAAAAAGAAGAGAAGAUGGAUAAUGGUGCUGGUUGGAAGAGUAAAAGAAGAGAGGAUUUGGUCAAGUAUAUGUUGGUAGAAGGGUUUCAGGUGGAAGUGGGACUUCUGGUCCGACUGCUGUAGAGGUGGCUUUAAAGUUUGCGCAUAGAACUAGUAAAGGAUGUAACUAUGGACCUCUGUAUGAGUGGCAGGUCUACAAAAUAAUUACGAUUUUUACAACUACGGCAGGUACGUGCAUGGGGAUGUAAAGUCAGAGAACUCUUUGCUUGGAACCCCAUCCAGGCACUCAAAUUUUACUGUUAUCAGCUACUAGGUGGCGAGAUACUUCAACUGGUUAACAUGUGGAGUAUGAUCAGCGACCAGAUAUAUUCAGGUGCAUUGUCAUAUAAAGCUUAUUUAUUUUCUUCUUGUGAGGCUUUCUCAGCACAUUGACAAAGGAAAUGAAGAUGGAUUGUAUAUCAGUUCUGUAGCUUCUUUUUCAAACCUUUGGGCAUUGAUUAUGGACGCUGGUACUGGUUUCAGUUCCCAAAUAUACGAGCUCUCACCUGAUUUUCUUCACAAAGUGAGUUCUUUCUAUACCAUAUUUCAGAGCUUAGGUAAAUUUCUCCUUUUUAGUGUCAAAGGCGACAUUCUAACCCUUUCCCUGGCUCUUCUUAUUCCUAAAAAGGUUAGGGUUUUUAAUUUUUUUUUUGAUUUUUUUCAGCUGUAGAUUACAUUGUUCGGUGAAAAUUACUGAAAUCUCUUGUUGAUUUGUUGAAUUGUUGUUGUAAAUUACGAUGAAAGGUUCACCGGCGUAUAAAAUUGAGAAAAAGUUGGGUAAAAGAGGAUUUGGUUUGUUGCAGGACCAAAGAUAGUGCCAACUUAUGAAGCUUCAUCUUACCUAGUUGCAGUUAACUAGUUAAGUAUCUUUGUCUUUCUUAAUUUCAUAUUCUAUACUGCCAGAAUAUAGAUGAAUGACUAGGAGUGAUGCUCUUAAAACUCUUGACCUGCAAAUUAACAAAGCAAUAUGAACAUCUUGCUUAGCCAGGGGAAAGAUCUAUUCAAAUAACCUUGUUAGUGCCAGUUUAGCUGGACAUCUAUUAUUCAAUCUCAAAUGCUUGGCCAGGGAGUUUCAUGUUCGCUGCUUCCUAAGGACUUGAACAAUUAAUCAUUCCUGCCUUAACUCUACUAGAACUGAAGCUGUCUGUUCAAGGACAACCUUGGCAUGGUCUGAGAAGUGGUUCUGACACAUACAUGUUAAUGUUGAUAUGCACGGCACUCUAAGAAGAGAAAUAUGCUUCCCGGAGAGGGAUUCUCCCUAUGCUUCAAGCCGAAGAGGAUGAAAGAUUCGCCAGCCAAUGAAAAAAGUAUUUAAACUAGAGGAAGAAGCGAGAAUCAUGACGGAUGUUCCACGCUGGAAGGUCGGUGAAAGCGUUUCACACUCUCCUGGUGUCUGGAUUGCCUACAUCGAGUUUUCUUAUGCCCAAUCUUUCAACAAAGCAAGCCUGCAAAGGAUAUAAAGCUUAGUUGUUCUAUUUCAUCAGAAAGGGUGGAGAACAAAGUAGCUUCAAGGUUUGUAAGUUCCAUGUAUUCAAAUUUUCUAGGCAGUUAGUAAGUUUGUAUGUGUUCCCUUAGAAAUUUGGAACCUUCCAUGUAUUCCUUUAUAAAUUCGAUACUUAACAAAAAAAAAAAGUUUGCUACUUGG